CCUCUUCCCUGCCAAAACAAUUCCCCCCCGCCCCAAUUCGGCCUCACCUCACUCAACCAAGGGUAGUGCUUCUUCUCCACCAGUCGCGCCGCCGCCGAUGCUGCGGUUCGCAGCACCAUUCCCCCUGCCCCAAUUCCUAUCGAUCCUCUUUCCUGCCAAUCCAAUUCGUCCACCUGCCCCAAUUCGUCCUCACCUCCCUCAACCAAUAGCAGUACUUCUUCUCCGCCGGUCGCGCCGCCGCCGUUCGCAUCACCAUUCAUCCCCACCCUAAUUCCUGUUGAUCCCCUUUCCAGCGGCCCCUCUCUUAUAUCAUUUCUCUAACCUUUUUGCCGCGUCAACACGUCAGACUCCCCCUACUCCGCUGCGAUUCGCAACACUCACCAUUCUCUAACCCGACCAUGGGACGGGUCAUAGCCAGCACCAAUGACUGCCCAGCCGCAGCCACAUCUAUGCAUCGCCGACCACCACAUUGACCCCUAGCCCUGACAUGGAGGAAUUCAAAGUGCCUCCCUAACAAGUUCUACAAACAAUGACGAUUACAGAACUCAUGCACGCUGCCUCAGUCAACUCACGCACGCUGCCUCACUCAACUCAUGGCAGAGCACACCUCGCCGGACUAGGGUGCCAUCGCGCCGACCGAACUCAGGGGGUCGAUUUCUCCGGCCGCAGAGUGCCGAUUUUGGGCGAGCGACGAAAGGAUUGGGCUUGGUAUUUUUCAGGCGAGCGAUUUCUCUGCUUGGGCUCACGAGGGUAAGGCACAGGGAUUUCACUGCCUGAGCUUGGUGUUCUUCAGGCGAGCGAUUUCAUUAUUUUUCAGUUCGUUGCUUUCACAGUUGCAGAGAUUCAGGCUCGCCACGACCAGGGUUCGUUGUUUUUCAGCCGCAGGGAUUGAGGCUCGCCACGAAACUAGGGCGUAAAUCAACAAUGGGAGACAAAUUGCGUGGGAGCCAUUCGUUUAGGUGGAUUGAAACUGAAAAUGAGUUAAAGGACUUUUUAAAGCUUAGAAGUAAGUAGUGCAGAAUUAUCAAUGUAUAUGUUGAGGGAGGGGUCGAUGAUAUGACUGGAGUUCUUCAAAGUAACUUAACUCAAACUGAGAUGAUGAAUCCAGAUGAGGAAAGUGAAGAAGAUGGUAAUACAAAUGGGGGAAUUGAAGUUGAGGGUGAGAACGAAUUGAUAGAUGUGAUCCUAAAGGAGGUGGAUGAUGGUUUGGGAGAUGAUGAACUGGCUGAGGGAGAUGAUGAGUAUAUACAAGCUAGGCAGAUGGUUAGAGAGACUGAAUCGGAGGAAUUGGAGAGGCUUAUAGAGGAAUAUGUACCACCUGCCCUCGAUGAGUUUGAGGGACAUGAAUCUGAUUAUGAGGGUUCAGAUGGGGAUGUUAAUUCUGCAGAAACAGGUGAGGAUGAGAAAUAUUGGAGAUCUACCUAAAUAGAAAGGUGUAUGACCCUAAGUGUGAUCGCAAGGAACUACAAAUUGUCCUUGGGUUGAGGUUUUAGGAUGGAUACGAGUGUAGGAGUGCUUUAACUACAUUUUCCAUAGAGAAUGGGAAGUUUGUACAAUUUAGAAGGGUUUCUAAAGAUCAGUGUGAGGCUAGGUGCAUUCCUCCUUGUGAAUGGAAAGUGUAUGCUAGUAUUGUUAAUGCUGACCAAUCUUUUUGCAUCAAAACAAACGGGGGAGAUCAUAGUCGUCCUAGAGCUAGCAAUGAGUAACAAGUUGCUCACCUCUAAAUGGAUAACAUCUAGGUACUUGAAUGUUUUCAGAGUCAGGCCUGAUUUCACAGUUGCAGAGUUGAGGGCUGAUAUCAUUUCUAGGUUAAAGUAUGAGUUGCCUAAAGAUAGGUCAUAUAAGGCCAAGGCUAUUGCAAAGAGAUGGUAAGGGGCACAGUUGAGCAUCACUAUGGAAAGAUAAUGAGGUAUCUUGCUGAGUUGUGAAGGGUAGAUAAAGAAGGUAGAUUCGAGUUAUUGUUGGGGGAAAAUGCUGUGUUUAAGGGGUUGUAUUUGGGUUUUAGCUCACUAAUCAAAGGUUUCAAAGAUGGUUGCAGGCCACUAAUUGGGCUUGAUGGUUGCUUCCUAAAAACCUAUUUAUGAGGUAUACUAUUAUGUGCUAUAGGGAAAAAUGGAAAUGAUAAGAUGUUUCCCAUAGCAUGGGCAGUUGUGGAGAUAGAAAAUGAAGAUAACUGGAGUUGGUUCCUCAAGUGUUUGAAUGAAGACAUGGUCAUAGGAGAUGGAAAUGGAUACACGUUCAUUUCAGAUCAACAAAAGGAGUUGAUGUUAAGAAGAUAGACGAAUGCAUUGGAGACAUAGAGGCAGAUGUUGACAAUCCUAUUUUGAAAGCUGAACAAGAAGCACAAGCUUGAUAGUCGUAAAAAAAAAUCAUGUCGAAUUUAGUAAGUAUCCUCUGUGAGAGUUGCUAAAUUGGAAUGGGGUACUUCGUCUCAGAUAGGAAAGGGCUCAAGAGGAGACGCUACCAUCUUGCCGACUCUCAUUGCAGGGGAGCAAUGGUGCGAGCCAAGGCUAUUGGUUCAUCCUGUCUUGCUGAUGGUAUUUAAUCGAUGGAAUGGAAGGGGCAAACUAAAACGAGGAAAGCUGUGAAUUAAUCUGUGUGAAACUUGAAUAUGAUUAAUUAUCUUGCCGACUCUCAUUGCAGGGGAGCAAUGGAGCCAUCCAAGGCUAUUGGUUCAUCUCGUCUUGUUGAUGGUAUUUAAUCGAUGGAAUGGAAGGGGCAGACUAAAACGAGGAGAGCUGUGAAAUAAUCUAUGUGUGAAACUUGAAUAUAAUUAUCUCGCAGACUCUCAUUGCAGGGGAGCAAUGGAGCCAUCCAAGGCUAUUGGUUAAUCCCGUCUUGCUGAUGGUAUUUAAUCCAUGGAAUGGAAGGGGCAGACUAAAAGUCUAAAACGAGGAGAGCUGUGUGACGGGUGUGACGGAAGAAGUGCGAAACUUGAAUAUGAUUGGUGGAGAAGUUGAGCAUAUGGGCCUAUUUUGCGAAGGGCACCUAAUGUAUUGUGGCCCAUGAAAUUUUUGAAAUUUAAGUAGAUUGAAAAAAACUUAAAGAAUUAUUCUUUUAUUUUAAAAAAAAUUAUUUCAUAGGAA
Molecule: RNA transcript, 3086 nt
Organism: Salvia miltiorrhiza (redroot sage)
Lineage: Eukaryota; Viridiplantae; Streptophyta; Magnoliopsida; Lamiales; Lamiaceae
Exons: 5
Source: RefSeq, a predicted model, not a curated record